This is an RNA transcript of Homo sapiens (human), 1730 nucleotides long. It is a transcript of the gene named ARV1 fatty acid homeostasis modulator, with no coding region annotated. The record is from RefSeq and is marked reviewed. Lineage: Eukaryota; Metazoa; Chordata; Mammalia; Primates; Hominidae. The transcript is spliced from 8 exons.
AGUUGAGUGGAAAUGGGCAACGGCGGGCGGAGCGGCCUGCAGCAGGGGAAGGGGAACGUGGAUGGGGUGGCAGCGACUCCUACUGCUGCCUCGGCCUCCUGCCAGUACAGGUGCAUCGAAUGCAACCAGGAGGCCAAAGAGUUGUACCGAGACUAUAACCACGGUGUGCUGAAGAUAACCAUCUGUAAAUCCUGCCAGAAACCUGUAGACAAAUAUAUCGAGUAUGAUCCUGUUAUCAUCUUGAUUAAUGCUAUAUUGUGCAAAGCUCAGGCCUACAGACAUAUUCUUUUCAAUACUCAAAUAAAUAUCCAUGGAAAACUCUGCAUAUUUUGUUUGCUUUGUGAAGCAUACCUGAGGUGGUGGCAGCUUCAAGAUUCCAACCAGAAUACUGCCCCUGAUGACUUGAUCAGAUAUGCUAAGGAAUGGGAUUUCUAUAGAAUGUUUGCGAUUGCUGCUUUAGACAGGGUCUCACUCUGUUGCCUAGGCUGGAGUGCAGUGGCACAGUCACAGCUCACUGCAGCCCUGAACUCCUGGGCUCAAGCAAUCCUCCUGCCUCGGCCCCCCCAGGUAGCUGGAACCACAGAACAAACUGCCUAUUUUAUUGGCAUUUUUACCUUCCUGUGGGUAGAACGGCCCAUGACGGCAAAAAAAAAGCCCAACUUCAUUUUGCUGCUGAAAGCAUUAUUAUUAUCUAGCUACGGAAAACUCUUGCUGAUUCCAGCUGUCAUUUGGGAACAUGACUACACAUCUGUGUGCCUCAAACUCAUUAAAGUAUUUGUUCUUACAUCAAAUUUUCAGGCAAUUAGAGUGACCCUAAACAUCAACCGUAAGCUCUCCUUCUUGGCCGUGUUGAGUGGCUUACUGCUGGAAAGCAUCAUGGUCUACUUCUUCCAGAGUAUGGAAUGGGAUGUUGGAAGUGAUUAUGCCAUCUUUAAAUCUCAGGACUUCUGAAGAGGUCCUGCAGUGCCCUUGUCUCCACCUAACCAGAUACGGUCAGCUUUGCCUCUCCAUGGAAUAAGUGAAGACUUUCCAAAAACUCCAGUUUGCAGUGCUUACUUUUUCCGUUGACCUCCGAGUGCUCAGCUUAACACCUACAGCAGUCACGUGCCCAAGAACUUCUGACAUUGCCCCAGGUUUUAUUCUUCUUCACUAUCUGUGGCAUGACCAGCUGUAUCUGAAAGAGAAAAGACAUGAAAUAUAAACCAACCUCCUCAUUUCUGUUGAGUAAAAUGAAGCAAAGAUUGGAAACACUUUCUGAAAAAGAAAGCAAUGAUAAUAGCGGUGGAUACCCACCCCCACAAAUGCACCCAAGAGACAAGCCAUUUACAUACAGAUAUUCACAGUCACACAUAGAAACACCCACAUGGACACAAGGAAUGUUGCUGCAGAGACUGAAUGACAUGCAACAGGUGAAGGUUUAUACGUUAUACACAAGGCCAGGUAAGCGCUCAUAAUUCACACAUAAUAAAACAUCUAGGUUUCAUUCCUUUGACAUGUUUAUAUCUUUUUAAUUUAAAUGUUGUUACUGGCUUAAAAUAUUUUGUGUUCUUACAAUAGAAACGCUUUUAAUAAAGUCUUUCAGAAUAAACCAAGUUUUUGUAAAUUUUCAAUUCAAUAAUUAAGGUAAUCUUUAAAAUUGGAUGAUCCAAAAAUAAGUGAUAAUGAAAACCACUGAGUUAUAUACUUUGCAAGGGUAAAUUACAUCUGAAUAAAGCUGUAAUUAAAAACAA